Molecule: ribosomal RNA, 383 nt
Filed under: Zapornia pusilla
Lineage: Eukaryota; Metazoa; Chordata; Aves; Gruiformes; Rallidae
Description: partial 12S small subunit ribosomal RNA
Rfam family: Bacterial small subunit ribosomal RNA
Source: RNAcentral
GCUUAGCCCUAAAUCCAGGUACUUACUCAACCAAAGUAUCCGCCUGAGAACUACGAGCACAAACGCUUAAAACUCUAAGGACUUGGCGGUGCCCCAAACCCACCUAGAGGAGCCUGUUCUAUAAUCGAUAAUCCACGAUACACCCGACCCCUUCUUGCCCAAAGCAGCCUACAUACCGCCGUCCCCAGCUCACCUCCCCUGAGAGCCAAAGCAGUGAGCACAACAACAACGCUAGUAAGACAGGUCAAGGUAUAGCCCAUGAGGGGGAAGAAAUGGGCUACAUUUUCUAAUUUAGAAAACGAAAGGAAGCCUGAAAAGGAUUCCAGAAGGAGGAUUUAGUAGUAAAGAGGGAUAAGAAUGCCCCCUUAAACUCGGCCCUGGGA